UACGUAGGGUGCGAGCGUUAAUCGGAAUUACUGGGCGUAAAGCGUGCGUAGACGGUAGCGUAAGUCAGAUGUGAAAGCCCCGGGCUCAACCUGGGAAUUGCAUUUGAGACUGCUCUGCUCGGGUGCGGAAGAGGGAAGCGGAAUUUCCGGUGUAGCGGUGAAAUGCGUAGAUAUCGGAAGGAACACCAGUGGCGAAAGCGGCUUCCUGGUCCGACACCGACGUUCAGGCACGAAAGCGUGGGGAGCAAACAGG
Molecule: ribosomal RNA, 253 nt
Filed under: uncultured bacterium
Lineage: Bacteria
Description: partial 16S ribosomal RNA
Rfam family: Bacterial small subunit ribosomal RNA
Source: RNAcentral